GGUGACACGGAGCUUGCUCUGUGGGAUCAGUGGCGAACGGGUGAGUAACACGUGAGCAACCUGCCCCUGACUCUGGGAUAAGCGCUGGAAACGGCGUCUAAUACUGGAUAUGUGACGUGACCGCAUGGUCUGCGUCUGGAAAGAAUUUCGGUUGGGGAUGGGCUCGCGGCCUAUCAGCUUGUUGGUGAGGUAAUGGCUCACCAAGGCGUCGACGGGUAGCCGGCCUGAGAGGGUGACCGGCCACACUGGGACUGAGACACGGCCCAGACUCCUACGGGAGGCAGCAGUGGGGAAUAUUGCACAAUGGGCGCAAGCCUGAUGCAGCAACGCCGCGUGAGGGACGACGGCCUUCGGGUUGUAAACCUCUUUUAGCAGGGAAGAAGCGAAAGUGACGGUACCUGCAGAAAAAGCGCCGGCUAACUACGUGCCAGCAGCCGCGGUAAUACGUAGGGCGCAAGCGUUAUCCGGAAUUAUUGGGCGUAAAGAGCUCGUAGGCGGUUUGUCGCGUCUGCUGUGAAAUCCGGAGGCUCAACCUCCGGCCUGCAGUGGGUACGGGCAGACUAGAGUGCGGUAGGGGAGAUUGGAAUUCCUGGUGUAGCG
Molecule: ribosomal RNA, 600 nt
Filed under: Microbacterium sp.
Lineage: Bacteria; Bacillati; Actinomycetota; Actinomycetes; Micrococcales; Microbacteriaceae
Description: bacterial SSU rRNA
Rfam family: Bacterial small subunit ribosomal RNA
Source: RNAcentral